GGCGCGUUCGGCUACCGGUAGGCCACCGGACUUUCAAUCCGGGAGGAACGGGUUCGAAUCCCGUACGCGCUA
RNAcentral lists this transfer RNA (72 nucleotides) under Cryptosporangium arvum DSM 44712. It matches the Rfam family "tRNA". Rfam says of the family: Transfer RNA (tRNA) molecules are approximately 80 nucleotides in length. Their secondary structure includes four short double-helical elements and three loops (D, anti-codon, and T loops). The record is from Rfam by way of RNAcentral. Lineage: Bacteria; Bacillati; Actinomycetota; Actinomycetes; Cryptosporangiales; Cryptosporangiaceae.